This 376-nucleotide long non-coding RNA is filed under the name Homo sapiens (human). RNAcentral's name for it is "HSALNT0280264". Lineage: Eukaryota; Metazoa; Chordata; Mammalia; Primates; Hominidae. The record is from RNAcentral.
GGCCACGCCCCCUGCAGGCACACCCUCCCCCUCACGGACUGUCCAUGGCUGCUGUGGACUCAUUGGGUGGCUCUCUGAGGCCUCUGUCCCCACGAUAUUCCAGCUCCUCAUCCUGGUGAAGGAAGCAAGGACUCGGGAGUGGACAAGCUACCAGGUCUCCAGGACUGAAGGUUAUCAUCUAAGUUGGUGUUCUCAACUGGAGGCGAUUUACCCCCCACCCAGGAGACAGUUGGCAAUGUCUGGAGGAAAUCUCUUGCCGGAAGCCGUGCCACAGAGCACACAGGCAGUUUGCAGAGAAGGAUGCAACCCACACCAUGUCCGAAGCGGGCUCUGGGGAAGGCAAGGUGUGUGACUUUGAGAAUGAGGAAUAGAGGAA